Molecule: RNA transcript, 2497 nt
Organism: Triticum aestivum (bread wheat)
Lineage: Eukaryota; Viridiplantae; Streptophyta; Magnoliopsida; Poales; Poaceae
Gene name: F-box/FBD/LRR-repeat protein At5g56420-like
Exons: 3
Source: RefSeq, a predicted model, not a curated record
GCAGAGCAGGCUCAUCUCUUUUUCUCCCGGGCCUACUCUUGUGUUGAGAUGGGCUCUGUGGCCCAAGUUUGUAGGUUAGCCAAGCCCAAAUAUUCCCAGAUCCACCACAGCGCAGAUAUACCAGACCCGUCGUCUGCCCUAACGCUGUAUCAUCCCCACCCAUCCUCCACCCCCAUCGACCGGCGGCGGCGACGGCGACCCAACCCUCCUCGGCGCCCUUGUCGUCCAAACCAAUCCCGCCCUUGUCGGCGGUAGCUGAAGGAACCUCAAGUUCGUUCUGUGCUCGGAUUGGAACAAGUAAGGAACAGGUGCCAAUCUCGUUCUGUAAUCGGAUUCGAAGAAGAAAGAGGUCAAUUUCGGUAUGUAUAUUAGGAAAAGGUGCUGUUUUUAUAUGUCUCUCACUCGUGAGACAAUAGUAAAUCCGUCGAAUUACGAAGUACUCCCUCUGUUCCAAAAUACUUGACUUCCAUUUGUCAAAAAAUGAAUGUACCUAUAUACUAAAACAUGUCUAGAUACAUCUAUAUUUUGACAAAUGAAGCCAUGUAUUGUGGAACGGAGGGAGUAUACACCAGCCAGAAUCGGAUCCGGAGGAUGCUAUAAUAAGCGCUCAGCCCGGUUGUGGACGAUUGUCAUCGUUUCUGCUCGCGUUUUGUUUGUCGUUGUUGCCUACCUUGUGCUUUUCUGAGAUUGAGAUUGGGUCACCAUGAAGCUCAAUAGAGGUCGCCGCCGCAGCCGGGAUUCGAAGAAAUCAGCUGGUAAUGGUGAGGCCAGGCUAAGCGAGCUUCCCAACCAUGUGCUGGUCAACAUCCUCGAGACGGUGGAAACACAGUCGACGAAAGCAGCUACUAAUGCGGAGGACAGGCUAAGCGAGCUGCCUAAUGAUUUGCUGCUCAACAUCCUCGAGAGAGUUAGUACCCUUGAUGCUGUAAGAACCUGCAUCCUUUCGAAGAAAAUGCAGAAGCUGCCAACUAUGCUCUCGCAGAUCGUAAUUGAUCUUAGCCCUUGUGAUUUGGUUCAAAUGGAUGGUGUUGUGGCUGACGUGACGGACAAGAUCCUUAGUACGAGGUCUCCACAGAUCACCGUUCGCAAGCUGAAGCUCAAAUUUUUCUUGGUUCCCUCUCGCUGUCUCUCCAUCGGAAAAUCGGUCGGCCUCGCCAUGGCGACUCAGAAGUUGGAUGCAGCUGAGUUUGAGAUCAUGCCACUGAUGGAUAACAGAUGUUGCACUGAUGCCCAUCGCCUGCUCUUUGGUCAGCAGUUCAAUGAUUUUGUUCGUGAUUGCCAGGAUGCAUUUGCUGGUCUCACGCGGCUGGAUCUACGAGGUUUGGAGAAUCGGACAUACCCAACAUUCUUAGCACCUGCAAGCAGCUCGAGUACCUGUCUUUCUUCGAGUGUGACGGGGGGUUCUGCUCGGUGCUGCAUGUAGAACACGCUCGACUCGUUGAGCUUGUUAUCACCUUUGGGGAAUUUAAAACAGUGGUGCUUGACUGUCUACCAAAGCUCCAGCGGAUGACCUACAAUCAUUGGCCCUGUGAUGAAAAUCCCUUGGUUCUUGGUUUUGUCCCUCAGCUUUGGAAGCUCAGUCUUGCUAAUGCAAACCUUUCAGGCAAGAUCCUCAACUUAAGCAAGCUGCUUGCUAAUGCCCCCACAGUAAGCGAUUUGUAUCUGGACUUUGUAAGCGAAAAGAUUUGGGUUCAACCAGAAUGCCCCAAAGUCCUUGCUCCUGUGCUUGCCAAACUCCGAUUUCUGAAUCUGGAUCAGCACCCCGAAGAAUGUGAUAUCUCUUGGACAAUGUUCGUUCUUGAAGCUGCACCACACGUAGAGGAGCUCUGCAUUACAGUAUGGGACCAUAAGUGCCGAAUGGAGUCACAAAAGAGUUUGUCCGAAAUAUCGGAUGUGAAGUGGGAGCCAUCUGAUCCUCGUUUUAAGCACAAGAAUCUGGCGAGGCUAAUUAUCUAUGGCUUCCAGUCCGAUGACAAUUUCACGGGAUACGUCGGGCGUGUCAUUCAAGCUGCGGUGAACAUCAGGGAGGUAUCCCUGCACGACAGGAAGGGGUGUGAAUUUUGUGCUGAGAAGUUUCCUCACAUGGAGGUUCGUCCUUCGAGUUAUCCACGGAUCACCGAGGAGGUGGAAUUGUUGAGGAAGAAGAUGACAGCAGCGUCAGCGUCAACUUCUCCUGAUAUUCUGUUCCGCUCAUAAGGUCGAGGUGAAGAUGAAUCUCAAUGUGGUGCUUCUCCUGAUAUUCUGUUCCGCUCAGAAGGUCGAGUUGAAGAUUAAUCUCGAUGUGGUUGGAAGGACUCCCCGAUCUCAAAGAAUAGUCAAUGCUAUUGUCCUUCUGCAAAAAUGUUUCUCGGCUACCAAUUUGUUGGAACAACUCAUUUAGCUAUUUUCAACGAUGAAAUGGCUAAAAUUAGCAUAUAUAUGUUGUGGUCGUCCUGUAUGUGCUUAUGUUGAAUUCAGUUAAUAUUCAGUACUAUGAAUGAUGCUCUGUUAUUUUUUC